GCUGAUGUAGCUCAGUCGGUAGAGCAAUUCACUCGUAAUGAAUAGGUCAUCGGUUCGAUUCCGAUCAUUGGCUCCA
RNAcentral lists this transfer RNA (76 nucleotides) under bioreactor metagenome. RNAcentral describes it as "tRNA-Thr". It matches the Rfam family "tRNA". Rfam says of the family: Transfer RNA (tRNA) molecules are approximately 80 nucleotides in length. Their secondary structure includes four short double-helical elements and three loops (D, anti-codon, and T loops). Further hydrogen bonds mediate the characteristic L-shaped molecular structure. tRNAs have two regions of fundamental functional importance: the anti-codon, which is responsible for specific mRNA codon recognition, and the 3' end, to which the tRNAs corresponding amino acid is attached (by aminoacyl-tRNA synthetases). tRNAs cope with the degeneracy of the genetic code in two manners: having more than one tRNA (with a specific anti-codon) for a particular amino acid; and 'wobble' base-pairing, i.e. permitting non-standard base-pairing at the 3rd anti-codon position. The record is from RNAcentral.